GAUGAACGCUGGCGGCGUGCCUAAUACAUGCAAGUCGAGCGAACGGACGAGAAGCUUGCUUCUCUGAUGUUAGCGGCGGACGGGUGAGUAACACGUGGAUAACCUACCUAUAAGACUGGGAUCACUUCGGGAAACCGGAGCUAAUACCGGAUAAUAUUUUGAACCGCAUGGUUCAAAAGUGAAAGACGGUCUUGCUGUCACUUAUAGAUGGAUACGCGCUGCAUUAGCUAGUUGGUAAGGUAACGGCUUACCAAGGCAACGAUGCAUAGCCGACCUGAGAGGGUGAUCGGCCACACUGGAACUGAGACACGGUCCAGACUCCUACGGGAGGCAGCAGUAGGGAAUCUUCCGCAGUGGGCGAAAGCCUGACGGAGCAACGCCGCGUGAGUGAUGAAGGUCUUCGGAUCGUAAAACUCUGUUAUUAGGGAAGAACAUAUGUGUAAGUAACUGUGCACAUCUUGACGGUACCUAAUCAGAAAGCCACGGCUAACUACGUG
RNAcentral lists this ribosomal RNA (497 nucleotides) under uncultured bacterium. Its description in RNAcentral is "partial 16S ribosomal RNA". It matches the Rfam family "Bacterial small subunit ribosomal RNA", at positions 28 to 507 of the family's 1533-position model. The record is from RNAcentral.